RNAcentral lists this small nuclear RNA (94 nucleotides) under Cervus hanglu yarkandensis (Yarkand deer). RNAcentral's name for it is "U1 spliceosomal RNA (ENSCHYG00000012411.1)". It matches the Rfam family "U1 spliceosomal RNA", at positions 71 to 166 of the family's 166-position model. From Rfam's summary of the family: U1 is a small nuclear RNA (snRNA) component of the spliceosome (involved in pre-mRNA splicing). Lineage: Eukaryota; Metazoa; Chordata; Mammalia; Artiodactyla; Cervidae. The record is from Rfam by way of RNAcentral.
CUCCGGAUGUGCUGACCCCUGCGAUUUCCCCAAAUGUGGGAAACUCGGCUGCAUAAUUUGUGGUAAUGGGGGACUGCGUUCGCGCUUUCCCCUG